RNAcentral lists this ribosomal RNA (163 nucleotides) under uncultured bacterium. RNAcentral describes it as "partial 16S ribosomal RNA". It matches the Rfam family "Bacterial small subunit ribosomal RNA", at positions 355 to 511 of the family's 1533-position model. The record is from RNAcentral.
UAGGGAAUCUUCCACAAUGGGCGCAAGCCUGAUGGAGCAACACCGCGUGAGUGAAGAAGGGUUUCGGCUCGUAAAACUCUGUUGUUAAGAAGAACAUAUCUGAGAGUAACUGUUCAGGUAUUGACGGUAUUUAACCAGAAAGCCACGGCUAACUACGUACCAG